Molecule: long non-coding RNA, 527 nt
Organism: Amphiprion ocellaris (clown anemonefish)
Lineage: Eukaryota; Metazoa; Chordata; Actinopteri; Pomacentridae
Source: Ensembl
AGCGCUCUCAAUGAUUGUUGUGUCAGUCAACAUUUGGACCAGAACAAAAGGUUCCAAAACACAUCGUGGCAAGAAGCAGCACAGUGAUGAAGAUGAUGAUGUGGUGACGUAAGAAAAUGCUGAAGAUGUUUCUGCUCCUGUUAGAUUCCACAGAUCAACAAAUCAGCUGUGAAAAUAUUUCUUAUCUGCAGUUAUUUCAAACACAGCAGCUGGAUUUAAAGAUGAUUGAACAGGAAAUGAGAACAGAGAAAAACAGAAUCUGCUUUACUGCUGCAACAGGACUAGAAGUCUGUUUUAUCUGAUCAGUAAAGACAAUAAAACAACAAACUAUCAACACAAUUAUUGAAGUAUUUUCUUCUUUUGUUUCAAUAUUUUGCUAGUCUUGUGUUAUUUUUAUCACUAAUAUAACUCACUGUAAUUUACUUUGCUGUUGUUUUGUUGUUGUUGCUUCUCAGGAGUUUUUUUGUGUUUAAAUGUUUUUUUCUUUAUUUAAUAUAUUUGCUUUACUGUCUUCAAUUGAUUUUAAU